GCAGUCGAACGGACCCUUCGGGGUUAGUGGCGGACGGGUGAGUAACGCGUGGGAACGUGCCCUUUGGUUCGGAAUAGCCUCGGGAAACUGGGAGUAAUACCGGAUGUGCCCUUCGGGGGAAAGAUUUAUCGCCAAAGGAUCGGCCCGCGUUGGAUUAGGUAGUUGGUGGGGUAAUGGCCUACCAAGCCGACGAUCCAUAGCUGGUUUGAGAGGAUGAUCAGCCACACUGGGACUGAGACACGGCCCAGACUCCUACGGGAGGCAGCAGUGGGGAAUCUUAGACAAUGGGGGAAACCCUGAUCUAGCCAUGCCGCGUGAUCGAUGAAGGCCUUAGGGUUGUAAAGAUCUUUCAGUGGGGAAGAUAAUGACGGUACCCACAGAAGAAGCCCCGGCUAACUCCGUGCCAGCAGCCGCGGUAAUACGGAGGGGGCUAGCGUUGUUCGGAAUUACUGGGCGUAAAGCGCACGUAGGCGGACCGGANAGUCAGAGGUGAAAUCCCAGGGCUCAACCUUGGAACUGCCUUUGAAACUCCUGGUCUUGAGGUCGAGAGAGGUGAGUGGAAUUCCGAGUGUAGAGGUGAAAUUCGUAGAUAUUCGGAGGA
This 601-nucleotide ribosomal RNA is filed under the name bacterium SL2.13. RNAcentral's name for it is "bacterial SSU rRNA". It matches the Rfam family "Bacterial small subunit ribosomal RNA", at positions 57 to 705 of the family's 1533-position model. The record is from RNAcentral.